AAAAUACAUACACUGUUUUUGUAUUCCUGGGUUGUGAAUUCUGUCUUUCAUCUGCUAAAGCCUGUAGGGGCCGCCUAUUCAGAGAGGGCUGCUGGAGGAAUUUGCAGGGGUGGGCUUCACUCCUGUGGUUUUACCCAGCUAUGCCUCAGAUUUCCUUAUUUCAAGCCAUCCUCUGUUGAAGAUAUGGAUGAUACAGUAAAACCAAAGGCCCUUGAGAGCAGAUUGCAUGAAUAUUUUGCUGUAGCCACAAAGAACUCGCAUCAUCUCCUGGAAAGAAUCUCAGGUGAAGCAAAUGUAAUGGACCAUUUGUCUAAACAGUGCUACGCUUGUGGACUUCAAGUGUGAAAACAGAUCCAAGACGCAAUCAUCCACCUCCAACAGAUUCAGGACGCAAUCAGCUACCUCCAUACUAGGGAGCAGGAUGGUGAGGGGACAGGUAUUUUGGGUGAUAUGACAACUAAUUGUAAUUAAUGUAAUUAAUUACAUGUAAUUGUAACAUUUACAAUGGAUUGUUUGCAGGGUAGGUAUACAUUUUCAUGGUCCUGAUAAUUGACAAGACUCAGGUGUCUGUAAAUACUGC
This 580-nucleotide long non-coding RNA is filed under the name Bos indicus x Bos taurus (hybrid cattle). Its description in RNAcentral is "lncRNA (ENSBIXG00000017486.1)". Lineage: Eukaryota; Metazoa; Chordata; Mammalia; Artiodactyla; Bovidae. The record is from RNAcentral.